GUGGGGAAUUUUGGACAAUGGGCGAAAGCCUGAUCCAGCCAUGCCGCGUGCAGGAUGAAGGCCUUCGGGUUGUAAACUGCUUUUGUACGGAACGAAAAGACUCCUUCUAAUAAAGGGGGUCCAUGACGGUACCGUAAGAAUAAGCACCGGCUAACUACGUGCCAGCAGCCGCGGUAAUACGUAGGGUGCAAGCGUUAAUCGGAAUUACUGGGCGUAAAGCGUGCGCAGGCGGUUAUAUAAGACAGAUGUGAACUCCCCGGGCUCAACCUGGGAACUGCAUUUGUGACUGUAUAGCUAGAGUACGGUAGAGGUGGAUGGAAGUCCGCGUGUAGCAGUGAAAUGCGUAGAUAUGCGGAGGAACACCGAUGGCGAAGGCAAUCCCCUGGACCUGUACUGACGCUCAUGCACGAAAGCGUGGGGAGCAAACAGGAUUAGAUACCCGAGUAGUCC
RNAcentral lists this ribosomal RNA (450 nucleotides) under uncultured bacterium. RNAcentral describes it as "partial 16S ribosomal RNA". It matches the Rfam family "Bacterial small subunit ribosomal RNA", at positions 354 to 796 of the family's 1533-position model. The record is from RNAcentral.